Long non-coding RNA from Oncorhynchus tshawytscha (Chinook salmon), 397 nucleotides. NCBI's taxonomy places the organism in Eukaryota, Metazoa, Chordata, Actinopteri, Salmoniformes, Salmonidae. The record is from Ensembl.
UCUAAUAGAGAAGUUUCUAUAGUUCUAAUAGAGAUAUGUUUCUAUAGUUCCAAUAGAGAUAUGUUUCUAUAGUUCUAAUAGAGAUAUGUUUCUAUAGCUCUAAUAGAGAUAUGUUUCUAUAGUUCUAAUAGAGAUAUGUUUCUAUAGCUCUAAUAGAGAUGUUAUGUUUCUAUAGUUCUAAUAGAGAUGUUAUGUUUUUAUAGUUCUAAGAGAUAUUAUGUUUCUAUAGUUCUAAUAGAGAUGUUAUGUUUCUAUAGUUCUAAUAGAGAUGUUAUGUUUCUAUAGUUCUAAUAGAGAUAUAUUUCUAUAGCUCUAAUAGAGAUAUGUUUCUAUAGCUCUAAUAGAGAUGUUUCUAUAGUUCUAAUAGAGAAGUUAUGUUUCUAUAGUUCUAAUAGAG